CCCAGACUCCUACGGGAGGCAGCAGUGGGGAAUAUUGCACAAUGGGGGAAACCCUGAUGCAGCGACGCCGCGUGAGUGAAGAAGUAUUUCGGUAUGUAAAGCUCUAUCAGCAGGAAAGAAAAUGACGGUACCUGACUAAGAAGCCCCGGCUAACUACGUGCCAGCAGCCGCGGUAAUACGUAGGGGGCAAGCGUUAUCCGGAUUUACUGGGUGUAAAGGGAGCGUAGACGGUGAAGCAAGUCUGAAGUGAAAGGCGGGGGCUCAACCCCCGGACUGCUUUGGAAACUGUUUGACUGGAGUGCAGGAGAGGUAAGUGGAAUUCCUAGUGUAGCGGUGAAAUGCGUAGAUAUUAGGAGGAACACCAGUGGCGAAGGCGGCCUGCUGGACUGCAACUGACGUUGAGGCCCGAAAGCGUGGGGAGCAAACAGGAUUAGAUACCCCUGUAUA
RNAcentral lists this ribosomal RNA (447 nucleotides) under uncultured bacterium. Its description in RNAcentral is "partial 16S ribosomal RNA". It matches the Rfam family "Bacterial small subunit ribosomal RNA", at positions 330 to 794 of the family's 1533-position model. The record is from RNAcentral.